This is a long non-coding RNA of Solanum dulcamara, 575 nucleotides long. RefSeq lists it as uncharacterized. The record is from RefSeq and is a predicted model, not a curated record. Lineage: Eukaryota; Viridiplantae; Streptophyta; Magnoliopsida; Solanales; Solanaceae. The transcript has 2 exons.
UUUGGCUUUCGGUUGAAGAAACCCAAAAGCCGCUAAUGUUGCCUGUUAAACAAACUCAGCAGCCGUUUUCUUUCCCCCAUUCAUCACGUCGAUUUUACUAUUUUUUUCCUUAGUCAUUUGUUUUCCAGUAAAAGCAGUGCCUUUCCAUAGUUUCAAACAAAAUCAUGCUCUUCUAUUUCUUUCAUUGUUAAGCCUCUUCUUAGAAAAUUCUCCACCCAAUUAAUAGUGCCAAAAAAUCACAUCAACUUUCACAAAUACAUAAAUUAAUCAACAUAAGCGAAGAAUUCCACCCGUCUAUUGACCUGUUUCAAAUCAAAACUUUAAGAUUUUCAAUUCCAAUAGUAGCAAAGGCAGAGAAUAAAUUAAUGCAAGAGAAGAAGGUGAUAUCAUCUGUUAGAAGAAAAAAGAAGGUGUGAAAGAAAAAAAAAGAAUAACAUUGGAUGAACUGAAAAAAGUUGAUGACCUACAAAAAAAAAAGAUACCACCAGAGGAAUUUGGAAUCUUCUUUACUUGAAUGUAGUUGUUCAUAGGUGAGGAACCUUAAACUCCAUAAUGAAAGACUACUUUGUAUGUGA